Molecule: ribosomal RNA, 1771 nt
Filed under: wastewater metagenome
Description: bacterial LSU rRNA
Rfam family: Bacterial large subunit ribosomal RNA
Source: RNAcentral
AGUUUCAUGCAGGUAAAGCUACCAAUAGGACUAGGGGGAGUCAAAUCCUACCAAAUCCUGAUGAACUCUGAAUGGCAUGAAAUAUACUCGGCAGUGAGGGCGGGGGUGCUAAGGUCACCGUCCGAGAGGGAAAGAACCCAGACCAACAGCUAAGGUCCCCAAAUCUAUACUAAGUUGAACAAAGGAGGUCUGAUUGCAGAGACAGCCAGGAUGUUAGCUUGGAAGCAGCUAUUCAUUUAAAGAGUGCGUAACAGCUCACUGGUCGAGCGAGGCGGGCAUCGAUAAUAAACGGGCAUCAAGUAUAGUACCGAAGCUUUGGAUUAUGUAUUAUAUACAUACUGGUAGGGGAGCAUUCUCAUUGCAGUGAAGGAUAGUCGACAAGGCUUACUGGAGCGAUGAGAAAAGCAAAUGUAGGGAUGAGUAACGAUAAUGCGGGCGAGAAACCCGCACGCCGAAAAGUCAAGGUUUCCUCAGCUAUGCUAAUCAACUGAGGGUUAGUCGGGGGCUAAGGGUUUAGCGAAAGCGAAGAUUUAAUGCACAUCAGGUUAAUAUUCCUGAACUUACUAUUAGGGAAAUACAAUGACGGAGAUUCGUGGUUGGCAGGUACUGACGGAAUAGUGCCUUUGAGAAGAAGCCGCAAGGCAGAAACGAGUUAGCGAAGAGACUUCCAAGAAAAGUUGUAAAUCUAUACUUAAUAGUAACCCGUACCGUAAACCGACACAGGUGACUGGGAAGAAUAUUCUAAGGCGCUCGAGUGAAUCACGGCUAAGGAACUCGGCAAAUUAACCCUGUAACUUCGGGAUAAAGGGAGCCUCCUCGCAAGAGAGGCCGCAGAGAAUUGGUCCAGGCGACUGUUUAACAAAAACACAUGGCUUUGCAAAAACGAAAGUUGACGUAUAAGGCCUGACACCUGCCCGGUGCUGGAAGGUUAAGAGGGGAUGUUAGCGCAAGCGAAGCAUUGAAUCGAAGCCCCAGUAAACGGCGGCCGUAACUAUAACGGUCCUAAGGUAGCGAAAUUCCUUGUCGGGUAAGUUCCGACCUGCACGAAUGGUGUAACGAUCUGGACACUGUCUCAGCCGUGAGCUCGGUGAAAUUGUAGUAACGGUGAAGAUGCCGUUUACCCGCAACGGGACGGAAAGACCCCAUGAACCUUUACUAUAGCUUAGCAUUGAGUUCUGAUACUGGAUGUGUAGGAUAGGUGGGAGACUGUGAUAUUGUGUCGCUAGGCAUGAUGGAGUCAACGUUGAAAUACCACCCUUCUUGUAUUGGGAUUCUAACUUAAAAAAGGACAUUGCUUGGUGGGUAGUUUGACUGGGGUGGUCGCCUCCAAAAGAGUAACGGAGGCUUUCAAAGGUACCCUCAGCACGCUUGGUAACCGUGCGUAGAGUGCAAUAGCAAAAGGGUGCUUGACUGUGAGACAAACAAGUCGAUCAGGUACGAAAGUAGGAUAUAGUGAUCCGGUGGUUUAGUAUGGAACAGCCAUCGCUCAAAGGAUAAAAGGUACUCUGGGGAUAACAGGCUGAUCUCCCCCAAGAGCUCACAUCGACGGGGAGGUUUGGCACCUCGAUGUCGGCUCGUCACAUCCUGGGGCUGGAGAAGGUCCCAAGGGUUCGGCUGUUCGCCGAUUAAAGUGGCACGCGAGCUGGGUUCAGAACGUCGUGAGACAGUUCGGUCCCUAUCUGUUGUGGGCGUAGGAUUAUUGACAGGUUCUGACUUUAGUACGAGAGGACCGAGUUGGACUGACCGCUGGUGUAUCAGUUGUUCUGCCAAG